Molecule: non-coding RNA, 73 nt
Organism: Hamiltosporidium tvaerminnensis
Lineage: Eukaryota; Fungi; Microsporidia; Dubosqiidae
Source: the annotation of a GenBank genome assembly
AGCAUCGUGGCGCAGAGGUCAGCGCGCUGGGCUCAUAACCCAGAGGUCAUCGGUUCGAAUCCUUUCGAUGCUA